UGCCAGCCGCCGCGGUAAUACGAAGGGUGCUAGCGUUGUUCGGAAUUACUGGGCGUAAAGAGCAUGUAGGCGGACUGUUAAGUCUGAUGUGAAAGCCCGGGGCUCAACCCCGGAAGUGCAUUGGAUACUGGCAGUCUUGAGUAUGGGAGAGGAAAGUGGAAUACCUGGUGUAGCGGUGAAAUGCGUUGAGAUCAGGUGGAACACCAGCGGCGAAAGCGAUCUUCUGGGCCGAUACUGACGCUGAGGGACGAAAGCGUGGGGAGCAAACAGGAUUAGAUA
RNAcentral lists this ribosomal RNA (279 nucleotides) under uncultured bacterium. RNAcentral's name for it is "partial 16S ribosomal RNA". It matches the Rfam family "Bacterial small subunit ribosomal RNA", at positions 506 to 784 of the family's 1533-position model. The record is from RNAcentral.